RNAcentral lists this ribosomal RNA (229 nucleotides) under uncultured bacterium. Its description in RNAcentral is "partial 16S ribosomal RNA". It matches the Rfam family "Bacterial small subunit ribosomal RNA", at positions 568 to 796 of the family's 1533-position model. The record is from RNAcentral.
UGCGUAGGCGGGGCAAUUAGUCAGUGGUGAAAUCCUGCGGCUUAACCGUAGAACUGCCAUUGAUACUGUUGCUCUUGAGUAUAGUUGAGGUGGGCGGAAUGUGUAAUGUAGCGGUGAAAUGCAUAGAGAUUACACAGAACACCAAUUGCGAAGGCAGCUCACUAAGCUAUAACUGACGCUGAGGCACGAAAGCGUGGGGAGCGAACAGGAUUAGAUACCCUGGUAGUCC